AUGUUUAAUGCAGUACAUUCAGUACUUCAAAAUAUAGCAUCUGAUGGGUCAGCUGGCUCAAUUCGUGCAGAUGAAGACACUACUUUCAAUUACUUAUCUUAUUUUGAGUUCAUAUUUGUCUUAUGUCUGAUGGAAGAAACAUUGGAGAUAACUGAAAAUCUUGGUCAAGCUUUGCAAAAGAAAUCACAGGACAUAGUAAAUGCCAUGCGUCUAGUGUUCACAACAAAUGUUCGUCUUGAUGAAAUGAGAUCAGAUGAUGGUUGGGAGGCCUUUUUUGAUAGGUUGUUGAGUUAUGUGUAA
RNAcentral lists this ribosomal RNA (300 nucleotides) under Triticum aestivum (bread wheat). Its description in RNAcentral is "partial small subunit ribosomal RNA". The record is from RNAcentral. Lineage: Eukaryota; Viridiplantae; Streptophyta; Magnoliopsida; Poales; Poaceae.